CUCGAACCAGCCAUUGCCAUGGAGAAGGACGUCCAGUAGGGGAGGCCGGCGAUGGAGGGGGGAGCGGCGGGGACAGAAGCACCGGCCAUCGGGGACCUCUCGAGCCGUCGAGCGCGACCUUGAUCUGGUGUAGGGGAGCAGCAGCCGCAGGGGGCUCCAACCUCUUCUUCGCGGGAGGCGGCAGGCGCAGCUCCUCCUCUCUCCCCCCACACGACAGCGACCCCAACCCCCACCCCAGCCUUGUUUGGAGGAUAUCGUCAGAAUCAGCUUCCUUGAUAAUUAUGUCAAAAUUUCUGGGAUUUGUGAUUCUUAUCGAAUUAAGAGAUCAUCUGUUGGCCUGUCCCUAUUUAUGAUUUCAGAUUAUUUUGGUGCACUUCAGUUUCAGAAAUCCGAUCCGUCACCCCUACUCUGACCUCGAUGGACUAUUGUUGUCGUUGUCCUCUGCCUUGCCCAGGACAAUGAUGGCCGGGUGAGCCAGAGACAAGCUGAGGAUCAACUAGCAGUUCUUCCCAACGACAAGACCACAACAGCAACAGAUGACGAUGUAGUUGAGUUCUAUAACGGACCAGCUUCAGGCUUUUGUACUAAUUUCUUGAUUACCUCACCAUGAUUGUUGUAGUUUUGUCCUCACAGGAGAACCUUAUUUUCUUCAGAUCUAUAGGAUCAAGAUAUGCAAUUUCAAUUUUGUAAUUAUAUACACUGUUAACUUGAUGCAAUAAAGAAAGAAGUUCCACAAGCUCUUAAUUAUUGAAGUUACUUGUGUAGUCUGCAAUUUGAUAUUUUAACAUGUGCACUGCAAUUGGCAACACUUCGAACAAAACCUUCGGUUUCUUUUCUAAGGAAUAUGAUUGUUGCUUCUAGACAUGCCGCUAGGUAUAUAUGAUCCAUGUUUUCCAUUCCCCCUUUACUUUCUUUGUUUAGUUAUGCAUGUAGAAAAGCUCAUGUAUGAAUCUGACUUUAUUAUGCAGUCUCACACAAAGGAAGAGAGAAUAGAACUUGAUGUCAACGACCCUAGAGGUAUGGAAAUAAAAACACCAGAGUGAAACUCCAGAGCUCUGCAUCCAGAGCAACGAUGCCGGCACACACGCCAGUUCUUUGUUCAUCUCAGUCGGCGAUUAUUUCAUUUUGUCUACGGCGAUGGGGUAGCUUCCUCUGCUCCGUUCGUGUGUUUGACGGACAAUGUACUGGUCUGAAGGAAAGCCUUUUUUAUUUUUCAAGAUGAUGAACUGCAUUAUUUCUGGUCCUACUCUGCCUCUCAAUCAUUUCUUUAAACCAAGUUGAUGACCGAGCAAAUGCACUUCACAGAAGGAGAACGGACAGCCUUAGAUAACAUUGACUGUUCUUUUUGGAGCUCCUACAAAAUGAAGACAUCAUUAAAUCAAUCGUUGUUUUGUUCGACGUUGAAGAUGUCAGCUAAGAGGAUUUUGAGUACUAUUCUGCUCAUUCCAAAAGUAUGCAAGCCACACGAGGAGUGAUAUAAGAAAGAUGCUCUCAAACCGGAUCUCGGUAGUGAGAUGCAUGGAAAGGAAAUCUAAGAUUAACCUAAACAAAAACUGCAUGUAGUGUAUAACGACUGCGACUGUCCAAGAUUGCAGUCUCUUCCAGAAUUUCAAUUGGUAAAAGCUCAUCCAUAAGAAAUGUGUAGCAGGGUAAAAGUCUGAUAUCUAUUGGUGAGCAGGCACUUUAUUUAUGAAGCAGAGAAAGCGAUCUAGCAUUUUAUUUGUGAAGAAGAGAAAGUGUAAGAAGGCAAGUGAGGUAUAUGUGCUCAAAAAGACACGCCAUCAAAUGUUUCCAUGUUAUUGCUGAACAUUUUUUGGUCUUUAUCCAACUGGUUUUUAUCAUAUCAAAUUACUGCAGAGCGUACUGAUUUUUUUGUCACCUAGCAACGGUGCCUUUCAGUUCAACUGGCAGUUUAAACCUCUGAAGGUUUAAGGUGAACAAUGAGAUAUUUUUGGGUUUGUUUGAACUGUUGUGUCUGUCCACUUGAGUGCCUCCAUAUGUGGUUCUCCUGUUGCAUUAGUUAUA
Triticum urartu is the source of this 2025-nucleotide long non-coding RNA. RefSeq lists it as uncharacterized. The record is from RefSeq and is a predicted model, not a curated record. Lineage: Eukaryota; Viridiplantae; Streptophyta; Magnoliopsida; Poales; Poaceae.